GGCCCGUUGAGGGCUUUUAGCAAAUCCGAAUCAGUUCCAUGUUGACCACAUCAGCAUGAAGGGUCACGUCCUUGCGAUUUUACUAGCCGCUCUCCUCGAGAAAUCUGUCGCUCAAACCUUGACUCAGUCUGCAAUGUCAAUGACCAGAGCUCCGGGGAAGACUGUACGGUUUGAAUGCAAGUUUGAAGGGAGCGAUUUCGACAAUACGGUUAUCCACUGGUACCGGCACAUCCCGGGUCAAGGUCCACAGCGCAUGUUAUAUUUCAAAAAUCCAUCUUACACUCAGCAAGAUAUCACCGACAAAAUACGAUCUGCUGACAAAAAGCCUGCGACCAAAACGUGCAGCUUGCUCAUGAGGAAUAUCAAGGAGGAUGACUCUGGGGUGUAUUACUGUGCUUUCUGGGCUCACAGUGACAGAAAGUCGGGGGGAACCCGCUCAAAAAGCGAUCGCCAUCCUGCUGAUUGUUUGCAAGCUGUUAUCACACAAACGACAGGUGUAGCAUUUGGAGAUUUCCACCAGCUUUUAAUUCCACGCAGUACUGCACAGAUAGUUCAUUAG
Non-coding RNA from Rhincodon typus (whale shark), 559 nucleotides. The record is from the annotation of a RefSeq genome assembly. NCBI's taxonomy places the organism in Eukaryota, Metazoa, Chordata, Chondrichthyes, Orectolobiformes, Rhincodontidae.